RNAcentral lists this long non-coding RNA (547 nucleotides) under Anser brachyrhynchus (Pink-footed goose). Its description in RNAcentral is "lncRNA (ENSABRG00000013780.1)". Lineage: Eukaryota; Metazoa; Chordata; Aves; Anseriformes; Anatidae. The record is from RNAcentral.
CUUGGGGGGAGGAGGUGGAAGAGGGUGGAUGUGGGGGAAGGUAUUUUUAGUUUGUUUUCUUUGUUUCUCACUUCUCUAGCUGUUAGUAAUAGGUAAUAAUUUUUUCUAAUCUCUUUAUGCUGAGUCUGUUUUACCUGUGACAAUAAUUGUUGAGUCACCUCCCUGUCCUUAUCUCAACCCUUGAGCCCUUUUCAUUGUAUUUUCAUCCCCUUUCCCUUUGAGGAGGUGGAGUGAGAGAGCAGCUUUGGUGGAGUUUGGCUGCCCGCCUGAGUAAAACUGCUACACUGGUGUCCAUAACUAUAGCAGAAAAAAAGACAGAAGAGAAGAAAGAAGGAACUAUUUAGGGGAGGAUGACAGCAUGCAGCACCCUUCAUCACUGGUACUUACUCUUGAAGAACAAGUGUACUGUCUGGAGAGUGAUUAAACAGGUGACUUGGUCGAUUUGGACAAAUUACUGGAGCAAUGAGGGUUCAGCCUUGCUCAACAUCCUGCCCAGAAGAAAAUGCACAGACAUACUUAUGGAUUCAACCUUGCUUUUGACGGUUUG